UACAGAGGGUGCAAGCGUUGUUCGGAAUUAUUGGGCGUAAAGCGCGUGUAGGCGGCUUGGCAAGUCGGGUGUGAAAGCCCUCAGCUCAACUGAGGAAGUGCGCCCGAAACUGCUGAGCUUGAGUGCCGGAGAGGGUGGCGGAAUUCCCCAAGUAGAGGUGAAAUUCGUAGAUAUGGGGAGGAACACCGGUGGCGAAGGCGGCCACCUGGACGGUGACUGACGCUGAGACGCGAAAGCGUGGGGAGCAAACAGG
This 253-nucleotide ribosomal RNA is filed under the name uncultured bacterium. Its description in RNAcentral is "partial 16S ribosomal RNA". It matches the Rfam family "Bacterial small subunit ribosomal RNA", at positions 524 to 776 of the family's 1533-position model. The record is from RNAcentral.